RNAcentral lists this ribosomal RNA (420 nucleotides) under uncultured bacterium. RNAcentral describes it as "bacterial SSU rRNA". It matches the Rfam family "Bacterial small subunit ribosomal RNA", at positions 1061 to 1481 of the family's 1533-position model. The record is from RNAcentral.
CGUGUCGUGAGAUGUUGGGUUAAGUCCCGCAACGAGCGCAACCCUUGAUCUUAGUUGCCAGCAUUCAGUUGGGCACUNUAAGGUGACUGCCGGUGACAAACCGGAGGAAGGUGGGGAUGACGUCAAAUCAUCAUGCCCCUUAUGACCUGGGCUACACACGUGCUACAAUGGACAGAACAAAGGGCAGCGAAACCGCGAGGUUAAGCCAAUCCCACAAAUCUGUUCUCAGUUCGGAUCGCAGUNUGCAACUCGACUGCGUGAAGCUGGAAUCGCUAGUAAUCGCGGAUCAGCAUGCCGCGGUGAAUACGUUCCCGGGCCUUGUACACACCGCCCGUCACACCACGAGAGUUUGUAACACCCGAAGUCGGUGAGGUAACCUUUAUGGAGCCAGCCGCCGAAGGUGGGACAGAUGAUUGGGGU